AACGAACGCUGGCGGCAUGCCUAACACAUGCAAUUCGAACGAGAACUUCGGGUCUCGUUGCGCACGGGUGCGUAACGCGUGGGAACCUGCUCUUAGGUUCGGCAUAACUCCCCGAAAGAGGUGCUAAUACCGGAUAAUGUCUUCGGACCAAAGAUUUAUCGCCUUUUGAUGGGCCCGCGUUGGAUUAGCUCGUUGGUAGGGUAAAAGCCUACCAAGGCGAGGUUGCAUUGCUGGUCUGACAGGAUGAUCAGCUAGACUGGGCCUGAGACACGGCCCAGACCGCGAGGGGGAGGAGGAGAGGAGAACAUUGUAGAAGGAGCGAAAGUGUAACACAGCAAUGCGGGGGGAGAGAGGAAGGCGGUAGGAUUGCAAAGCUAUUAUGGAAGGGAUGAAAAUGACAGUACCGGGAGAAUAAGCUCCGGCUAACUCCGUG
This 433-nucleotide ribosomal RNA is filed under the name uncultured bacterium. RNAcentral describes it as "partial 16S ribosomal RNA". It matches the Rfam family "Bacterial small subunit ribosomal RNA", at positions 29 to 507 of the family's 1533-position model. The record is from RNAcentral.